Long non-coding RNA from Thalassophryne amazonica, 211 nucleotides. RefSeq lists it as uncharacterized. Lineage: Eukaryota; Metazoa; Chordata; Actinopteri; Batrachoidiformes; Batrachoididae. The record is from RefSeq and is a predicted model, not a curated record. The transcript has 3 exons.
AGCGACUCCCGACACUGGAGAAGAAGCAGGAAGAGGAAGAAUCAUUGUCCAGAAUUGCCCACACUGACGAUCCCUCCCAAAAACAGUCAAAUCAAAAUUGAAUUUUAUACAAUAAUCUAAAUUCCUGGGGUCCACAACUUGACCACGAGUAAAGCCGAAUCCCGAUUUACGCAUGUGCAAGUUAAUGGGGCUCACCUGUAUAAUACAAUAC